RNAcentral lists this non-coding RNA (173 nucleotides) under Perkinsus marinus ATCC 50983. Its description in RNAcentral is "Eukaryotic small subunit ribosomal RNA". It matches the Rfam family "Eukaryotic small subunit ribosomal RNA", at positions 1657 to 1831 of the family's 1831-position model. Lineage: Eukaryota; Perkinsozoa; Perkinsida; Perkinsidae. The record is from Rfam by way of RNAcentral.
CCUUUGUACACACCGCCCGGUCGCUCCUACCGAUUGAGUGAUCCGGUGAGCUGUCCGGACUGCGAUUAGUUCAGUUUCUGUUCUCUUCGCGGGAAGUUCUGCAAACCUUAUCACUUAGAGGAAGGAGAAGUCGUAACAAGGUUUCCGUAGGUGAACGUGCGGAAGGAUCAUUC